Molecule: ribosomal RNA, 202 nt
Filed under: uncultured Thermanaerovibrio sp.
Lineage: Bacteria; Thermotogati; Synergistota; Synergistia; Synergistales; Synergistaceae
Description: partial 16S ribosomal RNA
Rfam family: Bacterial small subunit ribosomal RNA
Source: RNAcentral
CGUCAAGUCAUCAUGGCCCUUAUGUCCACGGGCGACACACGUGCUACAAUGGCCGGCACAGCGGGAAGCGAGGCAGUGAUGCCAAGCGGAUCCCUUAAAGCCGGUCUCAGUUCGGAUUGAAGUCUGCAACUCGACUUCAUGAAGCUGGAAUCGCUAGUAAUCGCAGAUCAGCCAAGCUGCGGUGAAUACGUUCCCGGGCCUU